CCUGAAUUCAUUCUUGUGUGAGAUCCAAGAACUCACUCUUGGGGUCUGGAUCCAGACCCUUUUCCGGUAAUAUCUUCCUGGAGACCACAGAAGGGCCAAUACUAAGGAAACCUUCCAACCAAAGGCUAACUUUGGAGCACUGAGUGUGACAGUCAAGCCCUUGAUGGCUUCAGCAAGUAGAAACCUGACUGUUGCCUGCAGAGGAUGACUGUGUGUCCCUGGGCCAUUUGUCAGUCCCUCCCAGGGUGCUCGUAGCUGAUCUUCGCCGACCUGACCGUCUUGUUACACCUUGUUCUCCUUCUAGGCAGCUAAGCACCCCAAUCUCUAUCAACCCUCCACUCCAGCCUUUAAGGACAUCUUGCCAAAUAGUCCCUUGAUCUCCUACAAGUUCAGCCAUCAGCCAACCCCAGAAUAAAGUUUCCAAUUACAUUGAAUCCUAUGAAAGUGACUUUGUCCCUUGAUUUGCAGAUCAAAGCAGUAUUAAAGUUUUCCUCCCACAC
Molecule: long non-coding RNA, 500 nt
Organism: Symphalangus syndactylus (siamang)
Lineage: Eukaryota; Metazoa; Chordata; Mammalia; Primates; Hylobatidae
Source: RefSeq, a predicted model, not a curated record